AGGACGAACGCUGGCGGCGUGCUUAACACAUGCAAGUCGAACGGUGACCCAGGGCUUGCCCUGGUGAUCAGUGGCGAACGGGUGAGUAACACGUGGGCAACCUGCCCCUGACUUCGGGAUAACUCCUCGAAAGAGGAGCUAAUACCGGAUACGACCACUUCGGACAUCCGAUGGUGGUGGAAAGUUUUUCGGUCAGGGAUGGGCCCGCGGCCUAUCAGCUAGUUGGUGGGGUAAUGGCCUACCAAGGCGACGACGGGUAGCCGGCCUGAGAGGGCGACCGGCCACACUGGGACUGAGACACGGCCCAGACUCCUACGGGAGGCAGCAGUGGGGAAUAUUGCGCAAUGGGCGAAAGCCUGACGCAGCGACGCCGCGUGAGGGAUGAAGGCCUUCGGGUUGUAAACCUCUUUCAGCAGGGACGAAGCGAAAGUGACGGUACCUGCAGAAGAAGCACCGGCUAACUACGUG
This 468-nucleotide ribosomal RNA is filed under the name uncultured bacterium. RNAcentral describes it as "bacterial SSU rRNA". It matches the Rfam family "Bacterial small subunit ribosomal RNA", at positions 26 to 507 of the family's 1533-position model. The record is from RNAcentral.